Molecule: unclassified non-coding RNA, 235 nt
Filed under: Clostridioides difficile
Lineage: Bacteria; Bacillati; Bacillota; Clostridia; Peptostreptococcales; Peptostreptococcaceae
Description: 16S-23S ribosomal RNA intergenic spacer (ISR)
Source: RNAcentral
ACCUACUGUUUAAUUUUGAGGGUUCGUUUUUACGAAUACUCAAAAUUAGCACUUUUAGCAACAGAAUAAACUGAACGCAUGUGAAGUUUGUUUGUUGGCGCUGUGCGUUAGCACUUUGAAAACUGCAUAUAUAUCUAGGGAUAUGACAUCUAAUUUGUAAUAUAUAAGGCUGAUAACUUUUGAAAAUUAUCCAAAUUGAUAGCUUCUAAUCUAUAUAACCUUUUUAACUGGUCAA